UACGAAGGGGGCUAGCGUUGUUCGGAAUUACUGGGCGUAAAGCGCACGUAGGCGGACUAUUAAGUCAGGGGUGAAAUCCCGGGGCUCAACCCCGGAACUGCCUUCGAUACUGUUUGGCUUGAGACCGGAAGAGGUAAGUGGAACUGCGAGUGUAGAGGUAAAAUUCGUAGAUAUUCGCAAGAACACCAGUGGCGAAGGCGGCUUACUGGUCCGGUUCUGACGCUGAGGCGCGAAAGCGUGGGGAGCAAACAGG
RNAcentral lists this ribosomal RNA (253 nucleotides) under uncultured bacterium. Its description in RNAcentral is "partial 16S ribosomal RNA". It matches the Rfam family "Bacterial small subunit ribosomal RNA", at positions 524 to 776 of the family's 1533-position model. The record is from RNAcentral.